This 231-nucleotide long non-coding RNA is filed under the name Lathyrus oleraceus (garden pea). Its description in RNAcentral is "Pisum sativum (pea) long non-coding RNA (PSAT_LNC006726)". Lineage: Eukaryota; Viridiplantae; Streptophyta; Magnoliopsida; Fabales; Fabaceae. The record is from RNAcentral.
UAAACUUGAGUGUAAUUAAGAUAGGAGGAUGGUAUAUCAUGUUUGACUUGUGUGGAGUAGUCCUUAACAAGUUGGCUUGAGACCCAUCUACUCAGUGGAGAUCCUUUUGGAGUUAUAAAUAUCACACAAGUCAUUUGUGGUUAGGCAUUACUAUCUCUGAUCUGGGGUCCAAGAAGCUGAGGACCGUAUAACAUUUAACCCCUCUUGGCCUAUUUAGGACGUAGUGCGGAG